UCGGGAAUUUUGGGCAAUGGGCGAAAGUCUGACCCAGCAACGCCGCGUGAAGGAUGAAGUAUUUCGGUAUGUAAACUUCGAAAGAAUAGGAAGAAUAAAUGACGGUACUAUUUAUAAGGUCCGGCUAACUACGUGCCAGCAGCCGCGGUAAUACGUAGGGACCAAGCGUUGUUCGGAUUUACUGGGCGUAAAGGGCGCGUAGGCGGCAAUUCAAGUCAUCUGUGAAAUCUCCGGGCUUAACUCGGAACGGUCAGAUGAUACUGCUUUGCUAGAGUGCAGAAGGGGCAAUCGGAAUUCUUGGUGUAGCGGUGAAAUGCGUAGAUAUCAAGAGGAACACCUGAGGUGAAGACGGGUUGCUGGGCUGACACUGACGCUGAGGCGCGAAAGCC
This 389-nucleotide ribosomal RNA is filed under the name uncultured bacterium. RNAcentral's name for it is "bacterial SSU rRNA". It matches the Rfam family "Bacterial small subunit ribosomal RNA", at positions 355 to 761 of the family's 1533-position model. The record is from RNAcentral.